This is a long non-coding RNA of Phyllopteryx taeniolatus (common seadragon), 1693 nucleotides long. RefSeq lists it as uncharacterized. The record is from RefSeq and is a predicted model, not a curated record. NCBI's taxonomy places the organism in Eukaryota, Metazoa, Chordata, Actinopteri, Syngnathiformes, Syngnathidae. The transcript has 3 exons.
CAAAAGCACACGUUAUUCAUACAUUUAUAUUGUAUUUGAACACAUCAAUACCAUUUUUAUUACUUUUCUAGUGUGUGUGCGCUGAAACCAGUUCUGUAAUAAGAGAAAACCUUCUUUCCAUAAUAAUAUGUCGAUGUUAUUUUCAACCCAUCCAUGUGUCGUAACUGCUGUCUCGAUCUUGUCAAAGAAUGCUGACUGAGUGGUCUAAUCGACCGCAAUCAUAUCAGCUCGGAGCCUCUCGUGCUGUUUUUGUGCGAGCUGCCACGCAACCUCAUAUUUCGCAGGUCUCAGUUUAAAUGCCUCGAGUGAUGUUUAAUGUUCAUUAAGCCAUUUGAUUGGGCAUUUAUAUUCAUUUUGCAUUGUUUUCUGAUGUUAAACUAUUUUUUUGGCUCAAAAACAAUUUGUAUGAAUAUGUUCGAGUGUUUGCAAUGGAUUAUUUAGAUUUACGAUAUUGAACUGUGUGGCAGAUGUGCUAACCAGUCACCCACCGUUCCACCGACUUCAGAACAAUGUGAUUUAAAACCUUUUUUUAAAUAUAUAAUUUUACUAAUAGUUUUUUUUUAAUUUAGUUAAAUGCCCAUCCCCAAUACUGUGCAUACACAAGAGUUGUGUUGACACAUUCCCAUGCAUGUUUUUUAGGAUGUGGGAGGAAACCGGAGUACCCGGAGAAAACCCCAUCCAGGCACAGGGAGAACAUGCAAACUCCACACAGGCGGGGCCUGGAUUUGAACCCCGGUCCCCAGAACUGCCAAGGAAGCCCGGGCUGACAUGCGUCGACACCCAGGGGCUGACUUUGUGGAAGAGCCACUGGAAGGUGAAAAAGCUGGUAACUGAGAUGGUCAGGAUGAGCUGGCUAAAUGGGUCCAUGGCCAAUCGACUCCACUGUGAAGGGGAGAAGAAGAAUGUUUCCUGCUCAGGUCACAACAACAGUCUACCAGAAUGUUUUAGAGGACUUCAUGAUUCUUUCCGCUGAGGAUCUGUAUGGCGAUGCAGAUUUCAUGUUCCAGCAGGACCUGGCCCCUGCCCAUACUGCCAGAAGCACCAAAACCUGCUUUGAUACCCAUGUCAUCACAGAGCUUGACUGGCCACCCAACUCGCCGGAUCCAAACCCCAUUGAGAAUCUAUGGGCUAUUAUCAAGAGGGAAAAUGUGGGGCACCGGACCCAAAAACAAAGAAGAAGCGACAGCAAGCAUCAAGGAAAUCUGGGCUUUCAGAACUCCCUUGGCAACGCCACAGACUGAUUGCCUCAAUGCCACAGUGCAUCGAGGCAGUGAUUAAAGCAAAGGGAUUCCCAACCAAGUGUUGAAGAUUAACUUAUCGUUUUGAAAAUACCAUAUUUUUAUGGAUUUAAUGUGACCAUCAUUUCUUUUUUGUCUUCUUCAAAAACUGAGCAUGGUGCUUACGUCACAGUAUUCCCGAUUUUGUGGGUUUCAUGAGCUGGAGCCCAAAUUAUGUAAAAAUGAACAAAUAAAUACUUGAAAUUGUUUAAAUUCUGGGCCCCGAAUCUAUAAUCUAUUAAAGUUUAACUUUUUCAAUGGAAUUAUGGAAAUGAAUAAACUUUUCCAUUAUAUUAAAAUUGUGCGUGUGUUUUUCUUCUUCUCUGCGUCAUUUCACAUUAUUACAUAAUGAAUUCCUCAUUUUUUCGACUUUCUUUGUAUCUAUAGAUUACUCUGGUUGUCCCCAACAUCUGGUG